AUAACUUACUUCACUGAAGAGCUUUACAGGCAAAUAUUUUCAUAUGGAUGACUGGAUUAUUUGUUAUUUUAUUGUUUGUGAUAUUGUAAUCCUUGUUUAAAUCAGGAAGAAACGCAUGAAGACAGAACAGUGAAAAAAAUGAAUCUAGCGAAGCUUUUCAGACAGAUCAGCCGGCCUGAAAUAAGAAAACAGAUGCAGAUGGAGUGUAGAAUAGAAACAACGCAUGCAGAAAACUGCUGGAGCUUCAGAAACCACAGACCAGCAAAAAACAGCAGGACUGAGAGAGAAAUGGAGGACAGAAAUAAAACACUAACCAGUGAAUCACAAGAGAAAGGCAGAGAGAUUUGUUAGAUGUGAGAGCAUGGGGAAAAUAAAGCCAGACCUCUCUUGUGAAGACCUGAACAUUAUCCUUCAUCACAACAGCUCUUGGACUCGGUUUCAGACUCAUCUGAUCACAAACAAACAGACUCAUGAACAGAUUUUCUCUCAGAUCUGUGUCUCAAUCCUGCUCUGAUGCACUUUACUGACAACAUUCUGCAUCAACACUCAAUCUCUGCUUCUGCCGUGUUUCACUCAGUAUUCUGCACUGCCUCACAUAUUUAUGACUGCAAUAUUCUGCAUUUCUCGUCUACAUUUCAUUCAUCAUGUAUAUUUAGUAUUUAUGUAUGUUUAUAUUUUAAUACAGUUCAUAGAUUCUAUAUUUCUCUAUAUAUUUUUGUAUAACUCUGUACUGUUUUACAUGCAUUUAUUACUCAUCCUUCCUUAAAGACAAAGCUUGAGUUAAUAUGAACAGAAAUCUGCUGCUAUGUUUGGAGAAGUUCAGUACAUUUCAUCUGGAUUCUUUACAUGUUUAAUUACGCAAAACUGAAAUAUUUAUAAAUAAAUGUUUUGCUAUAUUUUCAAAUUUGUAAAUCUGAUAGAAUUAUCAAGCAAGUGAUAUUCACUUCAUACUGAAGACAGCAUUCAAUUGUAUAGUGUUUGUCCAGAGCUGGUGUUUGCCGUAACAUACUUAUACACAUUUAUACUGUAGUUCAGAUCAUUGAGUGCCUUAAAAGUGUCUGUACUCUCAGAAAAAACUGUCACUCUGCAGCAUUACCCCAAAUGGUACUAAGAUGUACAAUUUAGAUUCUUAUGGGUAAUUUAAAAGUUUUAAUAUGUAUGUUUAAGAUACUAAAACUUACCAUUUAGCAGCAAAUAAUGUAAAGAGUGUAAAGUAAAGACAUUUUUGUCUUUUGUAACUUAACAGAUUUACACCUUUUUUCUGAGAGUGUAACUAACUGUAAAAAAUGUUUUAUGCCGAAAUAAUAUGCAUUCUAUCUAAAAUAAUAUCUGCCUGUUGCUCAUCAAGAUCAUAACUAAACAUCUCUCUAAAGACAA
Onychostoma macrolepis is the source of this 1377-nucleotide long non-coding RNA. RefSeq lists it as uncharacterized. The transcript has 3 exons. The record is from RefSeq and is a predicted model, not a curated record. Lineage: Eukaryota; Metazoa; Chordata; Actinopteri; Cypriniformes; Cyprinidae.